RNAcentral lists this ribosomal RNA (459 nucleotides) under uncultured bacterium. Its description in RNAcentral is "partial 16S ribosomal RNA". It matches the Rfam family "Bacterial small subunit ribosomal RNA", at positions 338 to 795 of the family's 1533-position model. The record is from RNAcentral.
CCUACGGGAGGCAGCAGUGAGGAAUAUUGGUCAAUGGCCGAGAGGCUGAACCAGCCAAGUCGCGUGAGGGAAUACGGCCCUACGGGUUGUAAACCUCUUUUGUCGGGGAGCAAAGCGAGUCACGUGUGACUCAUUGAGAGUACCCGGAGAAAAAGCAUCGGCUAACGCCGUGCCAGCAGCCGCGGUAAUACGGAGGAUGCGAGCGUUAUCCGGAUUUAUUGGGUUUAAAGGGUGCGCAGGCGGAGGUGCAAGUCAGCGGUAAAAUUGCGGGGCUCAACCCCGUACUGCCGUUGAAACUGCAUGCCUUGAGUGCGCGAGAAGUAGGCGGAAUGCGUGGUGUAGCGGUGAAAUGCAUAGAUAGCACGCAGAACUCCGAUUGCGAAGGCAGCAUACCGGCACGCAACUGACGCUCAUGCACGAAAGCGUGGGUAUCGAACAGGAUUAGAUACCCCUGUAGUC